Molecule: small RNA, 736 nt
Filed under: Pongo abelii (Sumatran orangutan)
Lineage: Eukaryota; Metazoa; Chordata; Mammalia; Primates; Hominidae
Description: processed transcript
Source: RNAcentral
AUUGCAUUUGCUGUCCACCAGAAAAAGUAUCACAAGUGGAUAAAUAAUGUGCACUGCUCUGAGCCCAAAGGUACGCAGUGGACCUGGCCUCUCUGAUAUGCAUCAGUAUAGCCAAUGGCUAGCCAGCAGACAUGAAGCUAAUUUGCUACCAAUGAAAGAAGAUCUGGCCUUGUGGUUAACCAAUCUAUUAGGGAAGGAGAUUACAGCAGAAACUUUUAUGGAGAAGUUGGACAAUGGUGCCUUGCUCUGUCAACUUGCAGAAACUAUGCAGGAGAAAUUCAAGGAGAGUAUGGAUGCUAACAAGCCCACAAAGGUCAAAAUCCAAAUUAUUCUCAUUUCCUUGUUUCAAUGAGUCAUAGAAGGAAUUGUCUCUCACACUUUUGAUAUAUAACUCUUGAGGUGGGUGGCAGAAGAAGCCAGUGUCUAAGAUAUUGUGCUGAGAUUCUUUAGGAAUAAUACUUAAAAGAGUAUGAAGUUUGUUGAACUGUCUGUAGAUGGAAUUGCAAAUUGAACAAAAUUACUUUAUGGCCUUAUGUAUUUAAAAAUCUUUGGACAAGAGUAUAGGCCCUAGCAAAAUGGAAAAUGACCAUAUGCAAAGCAUGGAAAGCCUUUAUAAAAAGCACUCAUGUUUGAGAUAGCUUACUUUUUAUGCCCUAAUAAGCAAAUGACAAAAGUAAAAAUUAUUUUAGAAUUCCCCUUAAAUUAUAAGAGGGUAAAAUAAAAUCUAUCAUUUUCA